RNAcentral lists this ribosomal RNA (253 nucleotides) under uncultured bacterium. RNAcentral's name for it is "partial 16S ribosomal RNA". It matches the Rfam family "Bacterial small subunit ribosomal RNA", at positions 524 to 775 of the family's 1533-position model. The record is from RNAcentral.
UACGAGGGCUUCGUAGCAGUGUCCGUCUUAACUAGGCUGUAAAGGGAGAAUAGGCUGUUCCAUAGUUAGUCUCAAAAUAAGCACUGAAAUUUGACUAAAUUUUCUUUGGCAACUCUGAGGAAAGUGGACGAUAAUGGUUACGUUCAAAGGAGCAGUGUAAAUGCUUUGAGGUUGAAAGGACCACCACGUGGCGAUUGCAAUUAUCGACGCUUUAUACCUGACGCUGAAGAUCGAAAGUGUGGGGAGCAAAUCG